GCCCGGGUGGCUCAGUCGGUUGAGCGUCCAACUUCAGCUCAGGUCAUGAUCUCGCAGUUCGUGGGUCCGAGUCCCACAUCGGGCC
This 85-nucleotide transfer RNA is filed under the name Felis catus (domestic cat). It matches the Rfam family "tRNA". From Rfam's summary of the family: Transfer RNA (tRNA) molecules are approximately 80 nucleotides in length. Their secondary structure includes four short double-helical elements and three loops (D, anti-codon, and T loops). Lineage: Eukaryota; Metazoa; Chordata; Mammalia; Carnivora; Felidae. The record is from Rfam by way of RNAcentral.